AUCUGGCUCAGAACGAACGCUGGCGGCGUGCUUAACACAUGCAAGUCGAACGCGAAAGGGACUUCGGUCCUGAGUAAAGUGGCGCACGGGUGAGUAACGCGUAGAUAACCUGUCUUCAUGUCUGGAAUAAUACGCCGAAAGGGGUACUAAUACCGGAUAUUCUUGCUUUUCAUAAGUUAUGCAAGCAAAGGUGGCCUCUGCAUAUGCUACUGCAUGAAGAGGGGUCUGCGUACCAUUAGCUAGUAGGUGGGGUAAGUGGCCUACCUAGGCGACGAUGGUUAGCGGGUCUGAGAGGAUGAUCCGCCACACUGGCACUGGAACACGGGCCAGACUCCUACGGGAGGCAGCAGUGAGGAAUAUUGCGCAAUGGGGGAAACCCUGACGCAGCGACGCCGCGUGAGUGAGGAAGGCCUUCGGGUCGUAAAGCUCUGUCAAGAGGAAAGAAGUGUACAAUGGCUAAUACCUGUUGUAUUUGACGGUACCUCUAAAGGAAGCACCGGCUAACUCCGUGCCAGCCGCCGC
Molecule: ribosomal RNA, 522 nt
Filed under: uncultured bacterium
Lineage: Bacteria
Description: bacterial SSU rRNA
Rfam family: Bacterial small subunit ribosomal RNA
Source: RNAcentral